AGCAUUUUGGAUCAGCUGAAGGCUUUUCAGGGAGUUUUUAGGACUUCCUGAUAAUAAUGAAUUACAGUACACAGAAUCCUCCAUGCAGUCCUCGUGAGCUUGUGGGCUUAUGAGGCCUGCGCUCCUGCAGUGCCACACAUCUGUCACGACAGUGAUUCUGAUGGGCACAAACAGUUCAGCUGAUGAAGAUGUUUAAUGUUGGUGCAGGGAUUCCAGCCUCUGGUUUCGCUGUGAUCUUUGUGUGUGAGUCAGUCCCUGUGCACACGCAGAGCAGCUGUACUACAAUCAUAUUUCGUAAAGCAGCUCCAAGCUGCAGACAGGCAUGUGCCCGGGUUCCUCUAUGCACACCGUGAGCAGCCUUGCAGAGGUUUCCGUAGUGUAGUGGUUAUCACGUUCGCCUCACACGCGAAAGGUCCCCGGUUCGAAACCGGGCGGAAACAGGCGUUUGCUUUUAUUCAUACACACGUUUCGUAUCAUUAACUGGUCCGCGUGGACCAGCCUCGUGAGUAGUUGUUUAACGUUUACUGACUCACGUAAACGGAAGUGAAAGCAGCAGUAAGAAACACCAGUGGCGAUAGGUUCCCUGGAACAUGUGACACGUCUGUCCCACUGAAACGUUUUGGGUUGAUUGCGCGUGCACACUUUGAUUGCGCGUGCCUCGUUCAAACUACGCACACGGCUAACGGCUCUGCUGUUAGCUAGCAUUUCUUCUUCUACAAGAUAGGAAAAGAAAAAGAAGUCAUUACUGUUUCCGCCCGGUUUCGAACCGGGGACCUUUCGCGUGUUAGGCGAACGUGAUAACCACUACACUACGGAAACCUGCUCACAGUGAUGUGUAAACACAGUUAUGUUAAUGCAACCCUCAUCAGGUCACAGAUAACGGGCCACGGCCCAGCCUAUCGGUGUCUGUGUGCGACCAGGAAGCUGCACAGUUUCCGUAGUGUAGUGGUUAUCACGUUCGCCUCACACGCGAAAGGUCCCCGGUUCGAAACCGGGCGGAAACAGCUGUUUUGUUUCGCCGUGCUGUUAUAAUCGAUAAUGGCAUCAUUUCCACAGUCCAAUAAUCUUCUGCCUUUCCUUCUCCAGGCGUAAAUGUCCGCCUGAGUGUGAAUAUGAAACACUUUAAACACACACAGGUGUAUGACGUGCUCUGAGUGCUGCAGUAGAGUAGAGAGACCAGUCAUCGUUCUCCAGAAGACACAGUCCAGGACGUACUCUCCCUGCACCUCCUCCUGCAGCCUGAGGCUCCGCUCCCUCACAGGUGCACACGUGUCUUUAAUCGAUCGAGCUUCAACAGGAGGGAUCGGAGCGCUCCCUGGGUAUGACUGUCAACUAUGAAAACUCCUUCAUCAAAUGGAUCUGCCAAAAUCGUAAACACUAUUCAUCUGGUCAGGACACCAUUUUGAAGGAUUCCACUGAAGAGCUGACUGGAGGAUGGAGACAGUCGCCAUGUGUACGAAGAGAGGUGUCGUCUGUCUCCUCUUACAGGAAGAUGUCCAUUGCAGAAGAUGUAAGAUGAGCCAAGGACUGGACCCAGCCCAAAUCAGGAGGCGGAGUCAUAAUACAAGUGUUUGCUGCUUGGCUGUGCUGUCCUUUUGUCUGUUCGGCUCAGAGGAAGGGGACACGGCGUUUACAUGUGCAGUGCUCCAUACAUCCUUUGAGAGAAAUCAUUUAAAGCAUUUAUCUUUGUUGUCCAAAGCUCAGGCAGCAGCUCAAACACUGCUGAUAACACCUCCACCUCUGCAGCAGCAGACUGAACCAGGACUCAAACCUGCUCCAUCAUCUCAUCUUUGUAGACCUGCAUUUGCAAGCACCAACAAGUCAACGGUAAACAUUAUACUGGAUAAUCUGCUGGUUUAAAAGGCUUCGUCCUUUUGUAAAAAAACAGCUCAUAUCAGCAGAACUGUAGGACUAAAAAAUGUAAGAGAAGAGCUUCAGAUCCUGAGUGUGUGAGGACAGAAGGAUCAGCUUUAUUUCAGAUUUGAGAUAAACUUUAUAUUUCAGUUUGUGAUUACAGGAGCUGCCCUCAGAUUCAGACCUCAGCACCACCCAGUGACAGCAGACAGAUCAUCCAACAUGUUAACUGUAAAAUUAAGUGAGGAAAACAGUACAAAGGUUAAAGUACCACACGUGCUGUAGUGAAGGCUGCAGCUGUUUUAUUGAUAAAUUUAAAGACAAAAA
Haplochromis burtoni (Burton's mouthbrooder) is the source of this 2181-nucleotide long non-coding RNA. RefSeq lists it as uncharacterized. The record is from RefSeq and is a predicted model, not a curated record. NCBI's taxonomy places the organism in Eukaryota, Metazoa, Chordata, Actinopteri, Cichliformes, Cichlidae. The transcript has 2 exons.